UAGGGAAUCUUCGGCAAUGGACGAAAGUCUGACCGAGCAACGCCGCGUGAGUGAAGAAGGUUUUCGGAUCGUAAAACUCUGUUGUUAGAGAAGAACAAGGACGUUAGUAACUGAACGUCCCCUGACGGUAUCUAACCAGAAAGCCACGGCUAACUACGUGCCAGCAGCCGCGGUAAUACGUAGGUGGCAAGCGUUGUCCGGAUUUAUUGGGCGUAAAGCGAGCGCAGGCGGUUUCUUAAGUCUGAUGUGAAAGCCCCCGGCUCAACCGGGGAGGGUCAUUGGAAACUGGGAGACUUGAGUGCAGAAGAGGAGAGUGGAAUUCCAUGUGUAGCGGUGAAAUGCGUAGAUAUAAGGAGGAACGCCAGUGGCGAAGGCGGCUCUCUGGUCUGUAACUGACGCUGAGGCUCGAAAGCGUGGGGAGCAAACAGG
RNAcentral lists this ribosomal RNA (429 nucleotides) under Gemmatimonadota bacterium. RNAcentral's name for it is "Gemmatimonadetes bacterium partial 16S ribosomal RNA". It matches the Rfam family "Bacterial small subunit ribosomal RNA", at positions 355 to 776 of the family's 1533-position model. Lineage: Bacteria; Pseudomonadati; Gemmatimonadota. The record is from RNAcentral.